CAUAAGGAUACGACGUGCAAGUGAGUUGUGCAUCCAGUGGCAAUAACAAAGCUCGGGACGAGUGUUCUAAGCAGUUACGUAUUGCGUGUGACGCUUAGCUUGGCAGAAGUUACUGACGCGUACAAUUCAAGUUAAUGUGUAAACGUCGAGCGGUAUACUUUAACAGCUGCGUGAACUAUUUAUAUUUCCUCAGGUGUUCAGUGAAAAUCACUUGUUUUACGACGGAAAAUGAGACGUCGUUACAAGUGUUACACACGCCUCUAUGCAAAAUCGCCGAUUAGUUUUCGACGAAGUGGGUCUUUUCCUUCGUGCAAAACGAGAAUGCUGUUACAUUAUGCAAAUUAUUUGGUAACCAAUAUAUGAAGCUGGACUGAUGAGAAUCUUUGUAUCAGAGAAGAGCUUGAAAUGCCACUGGCUGAAAAAAAAAAAUAAAUAAGUCUUCACAGAUGAAGAAUGAAUGAAAAACACUGUUGCUUCUAACAUGCUGUAAGACUGUGGCAUAUCUUUGGUGCAGGGUCAAAGGGGCUCACGUCAAAACUAUAAACUUUUUUUUUUAGGAGAGCUACAGCAAAGACCACAAUCCUCUCUAAAAUCCAAAUAGAAGUGACCAGUGAACCAAGGCAAUCAGUGAGAGCUAAACAACAGAUUCCUUGUUGCCAUAGGUUGCAAAUGAGGGCAUGGCUGUUUUGAAGUGCACUGAAAUAUGGUUUUGUAGUGCAAGUGUCUUUUAGAUGAAGUAAUUGAAGAUAACUGGACGAACAUGCAUAUUACUGAAAUCAACUUCCUUUACGCACUUUGGACUAGUUUUUGUGCAUAUGAAAAGCAAAAUUAAAAAAAGAAAUGUGAAGCUAGUAAUUGAGAAGUCAUGUUGUACGAGUAUAUAAGUGUUGCAGAAACGUGUAUGUGAAGCUGCCAAUGCAAAUUUCUUUUUAUAUAGAGAUAAAUGUAUUUUUUAUGUAAAGGUAAAUGUAAUUUUUUCUUCUUUAUUUUAUUUGUAUAUGCUUCCUGUGUAUCUAGUAAGCUGCCAUUUUUGGAGUAGAUUGUACAGUUUAGUAAGAUUUCUGUUUUAAGUGACUUUGCCUGUGUGCAAAUUUUGCCUGGAGAUAAUAUCUGGCACUGUGUGAAGAUGUCCUGUAUUUUAUCAGAUCAUCCUUUAUUUUAGCUCAAGUGUUCCCUUGUCCUGACAAAAUACAUACCAGGGCAUAUACUGUCCUGUUUCUCAUUAACUGUCCCUUAUAUUUUGAAAGGUGCAUUUUCAAGAGAGAUGUAGCAUAACUGAAAGGAGAAUAAACGUGGUCAUACCCAAAGAAUAAAGAAAAUACCCCUGUUGAUUAAACCAAACUAAACCAGGGAUGAUUUUUGAAAUCCUUUUGUUGGUACUACUUAAAAGCUUUCACAUGGCAAGCAGUUCAUCACUUCCACUUUCUUUGUGCAUUGCCUAUUGCUUCAGCUCACCAUAUUUAAAUAUGUGGUUUUAAUGGAUUUAAAGAGUCACAUCUAACCUUACUUGAUGUUGCACAUUGCAAACAUUUCAUAUAAAUGCCAAAAAGAAAGUACAUAUUUACUGACUAAAGCAAGUUUCCAUUUCUGAAAUUAGAAUAGUAAAGCGAUAACUUAUUUUGCACAUUGUGUAAAAGUACUUCUUGAGUCUACAAUGGGAGUCAAUAUGAUGUUCUGCAAUACAUUAACGUUAAUAAACACAAGUUAGCAGUUUCAAGCAUAACUUUGUCACAAAGUAUGAUGUCUUUUUGCACAAAACAUGAGAAUAGUGUCACUGCAAAAGAAGAAGAAAAUCGUCUCACUGCUGAGGAAGCUUCAGUAGCUUUCCAUGCAAUGUAAUGAAACAUCGUGUGGCGAGGGCCUCCCGGCGGGUAGACCUGAUCGCCUGGUUCAAGUCUUUUGAGGUGACAUCACUCUUCAGCGACUUGCACAUCGAUGAGGAUGAAAUGGUGAUGAUGGAGACUACACAAACACUCAGUCCCUGAGUGGAGAAAAUCUCCAACCCAAAUGGGAAUCAACCCCCCCCCCACGCAACAUGACAAGUCAGCGUGCUGUCCACUCAGCUACGGUGGGGCGGACAAUGAAACAUAAUCAUUCCUUCAGGUCAAUACUUGUAUAGUCAAGGUGAAGUUUGGAACACACUAUUCGAAAAGUGUAGCUGAAGAGGAACCCGUUAAAUAAAGUAUUUUUUUCAAGUGAUCAAGAGUGUGACCCUGGUAAAAAUAAAGAGGCAUGUGAAACAGAAAGAGACAAUUGCAAAUCGAAUAUUAGAUGACUUCCAUUCAUCCACAAGAGGGCAGCACCAGGUGAUGGACAAGAGCUACUGGAUGAGAAAUAUUGAGAGUGGACUGGGUUAUCAAAAGAAGAAGAAGAAGAAGAAGAAGGAGUCAAGUCGAAGGAAGGAAGGAGGUUAGAGUUUAACAUAUUAUGGACAGCGCAGCCAUUACAGACUAAAGCAGAGUUGAGUGGAGUGGGGGUAAGGAGAAUUGAAACUACAUGGAUGAUGAAUUAAUGUGCUACUUUUUAUGAACUGAUAAAUAGUAAGGUUUUGGUUUGUAUAAAUUGAGAUGAGGAGUGUGACUUAAUUCAUUUUCACAUCACAGAAAUUGUUACUAAUUUUGUGGAUUUUUCAGUAAUGACAAAUUGUAGAAAGUUUAAAUGUUAUGUGAAGAAGCUAUCUCAGUUUUUGGUGUUAUAACAGAAAAAGUUUUGAAUAUAUUGC
Schistocerca nitens (vagrant locust) is the source of this 2722-nucleotide long non-coding RNA. RefSeq lists it as uncharacterized. The transcript has 3 exons. NCBI's taxonomy places the organism in Eukaryota, Metazoa, Arthropoda, Insecta, Orthoptera, Acrididae. The record is from RefSeq and is a predicted model, not a curated record.